CUAUUUGAAAACAGAAGAAAAAGUUAGAUAUAUAAAUAAACCUGGGAUAAACUUCUGUAAAAUUUGACUUCUCCCUGAUACUUUAAAAAAUAUAUAUACUACAGCUUGCCCUAUGUGCAGAAAAAUUGCAAGAGAUUUGACAGAAGCAUCAUUAUCAGGUGCAGGAUUGUGUACAGUAGCAGCUCUUGCCAUGAUGUUUUUAACUUGGAAUGAUAGGGAAAGCUUUUUUGAAGCGGCUGAAAGUGUUCCUGGGACAUCAUUCGCCAUAUGUAUCAAUCAGUUCAAAAUCCCUCUGUGAAUUUCAGUAUUGGUGGAUAACAUACAGUCACAUCAUGAAAAGGUAAAUUAAGAUAUACUAAGGGAUCCCACUUCCAAUAUCAUGACCGAGACAGAAAUAGGAAGACUUUGAGAAAUACAAAGGAUGCUUAUGCAGAUUGCAGAUUAAAGUUUUGAGUUCUGAAAUUUUUUCUGAUGCAAAGACUAUUAAGGUCGCUUGAAUAUAUGACGAUACUUGGAGCGUCUGUCAAGGAUCUGAACCCAUGAAGUCAAGGUUGCUGUGUUGCCACUUUUGAGAGAUUCUAUUUGUUUCGAGUGCAGAGAUAGAGAUAGACUGUGAAAGGAAAAAAGGAGUGAUUGAUCUGGAUUUAUUUGACAAGAGGUGUAGAGAUAGAGAGAAAUUGUGAAAGCAGAAGAGGAGGAAUCGGUGUUGGAGAAGAGGCUUCAAACGUAGAAGACAGGACAUCAAUUGAUAGCAGGUAAUAUAGAAAGAAGAACAGGGAUCUGGGUCUGAGUUUGUUUUGGAUUGCUCAUCUAUUUGUGUCUUUAUUUUUCUUCUUAUACUGAGUUUUUGUUUUGAAAUGCUCCGGUGAAUUGGUUUCAGACUAAAUUCCUGUCAGCUUUGUAGUUAUCGGUUUGCUUGCAUAAUUGUUAUCAGCUUCAUAGUUGUUGCUUUCA
Molecule: long non-coding RNA, 954 nt
Organism: Rosa chinensis
Lineage: Eukaryota; Viridiplantae; Streptophyta; Magnoliopsida; Rosales; Rosaceae
Exons: 5
Source: RefSeq, a predicted model, not a curated record